UGAUUUAGGUUUAAGGGGUUUGGGUUUAGGAGAGUGCGUGAGGGAAGCGGCGGCUGGCGAUCGAUAGACCGUGGGACGUGUAGUGGCUGGCGGGCUGCAGAGAUCGUGUGGCAGUGGCACCAUCGUUCCAACGACGGGACAGAGGAAGUAGGAGGACGUGAGUGUGACGAAUCGGGGGUUUGUGAAGAUUGGGAUCGAGCACGCGACCUCAAGCCCCUCUCUGGUUCCGUGCCACCACCUGCGGCGGCAGGGAGAGUCUAGGCCCCGACUCUCUCUCUCUCUCUCCACCCAGUGGACGCUCUCUCUCGUGAGCGUGGGAGCGAGCAGUGGUCCCUCGGCGAUGGUAGCGGCGGUGCGGUACCCGAAGGAGUCUAGACACGGUCGGUCAAGCAAACUUCUCCCUAGACCGGCAACUGACAACCACGAAGGGGAGGGGGCUGCUAGUCGGUACUGAACCCUACCAUGAAGAUAGUUCGUUCGUCGCGAAGCCGACCCUCGAGUUCGAGUUCGUCUUGCAGUUUUUGUCCCAGAGAUAGACGAUUACCCCAUCGGUCGUUACGUCAGAUUCUCGACCGAUGACGAUUACACUAAAGACCUAAACUCUCCUACUCUUGAACUCUUCUUGUUCGAACUAUGAUGCUAACGUUUGUUUUUAAGUUAUGAUGUCCACUCUCAACUAUGUGUGGUAUGUAUCCGAAACGUUCGCCCGCCUUUAUCUGGAGAAGCAGCUACUGAAGAUACUCCUGCUAUAACUGGAUCUCCGACCUCGAAACGAUGAGAAAGGCCGGUUGUUGUUCCCUAGCAAAUGAAAAAGAGAGGGGUGUAGGUCAGGAAGGGACAAGGAUAGGGAGGACGAAUAAAGAACGAUAUCCCGUUGUAUUACGUUCACAAACAAUUUAACAACCAGAGUUACGAGGUAAGAUCGUGUUCCUUAAAGCCAUCCUUCUGUAUCGUAGUUAGUUCCUAAAAGCCCACCUUCUGUAUCGUAGUGAGUACCAACAUAUCUAAAUGACAACAUAAAGACAUAAAAACGUUUUGAUCAAGUCAUUUCGAACAUCGAAUAAAGUCAAGAAUUCACCAAAAUGUGAAUCCGAACAUAACUGAACGAUGAAUAAAAAAGGUAUUAAAACGUUGUGAUCAAGACAUCAUAUAUCAUGUCAAAAAAAUACCUUAGUUCGGUUUUAUGUACAUAUAGAUCGGCAAACAUAAAGAUGUCAGUACGAAGAUUUCUAAAAUAUCAAAAUAAAAGUGAUAUCUAAACGAAGUCAUCAAGACAUUGAAGAUCUUAUCUAGUCAAUUCUCCAAAAUGAGAAUCCGAACAUAUUUGAAUGUUGUAGAAAAUAAACAUUAAAACCUUGUAAUCAAAACAUAUCGAAAUGAAAUCAAAGACCUUUGUUCUAAUUUAUGCAUACAAACGUCAAACAUUAAAUGUCAGUACGAAGAUGUAUCAAAUGUCAUCAUAAAAGACACUUAUACGAAGUGAUCAAGACAUUUUGCAGAUCUUAUCAAGUGAAGACCUUACUUCUCAAUUAUACAUAAUUAACCAAAAGAUUAAAAUGGAAAAGCGAACAUAUCUAAAGGUCGACAUCAUAAAAACAAUAAGAAGAAGUCAUCAAAAGCUUUUACCUGAUUUAUACUUUUCAACCAAGAUUAAAUAACAGUCAGAAAAAUAUAUCUACAAUGUCAACGUAAAAAGAAUAAUCAAAAACCGUUAAAACGUUACUCUUACCAAAUUGUUGACAUCUGACAAGACCAAAUAUUCCGGUAACAUAGGUACUCCUUUAAACAAUGAAUAAAAACUUAUGUAGAGAAUGACACAUAGACAUGCAACGUCUCGUUGAGUAUAACCAAAUCGAAUCUACGUAAAAUUCUAUACCGUACUUCGAUCGAUUCCAGAAGAUAAUAAAGAUCGUCGUACACUAACUGACUUGUUUUCUUCCUGAGGUGAGUGUAUACUUUACGAACGUUCAAAAAAAAAUUUUUCGUUUCCUGGUCGCCACAUCGAUUCCCGAAAUUAAAUAAUCAUGAGGUAGACAACGAAGAUUUUGUGAACAUACGUGUCUAUGAUCAAAGAGAACCAAUAGUAUUCACUUGUAAGAAAUCUAUUUAAAGUGGGUCAAAAAAAUCACCCCUUCCUUUCGAAGUACUAUAAGGUAAAUUUCGCGACUAUAGAUAAACUUUUAAUUAAAUACACGUAUGGAGGAGCUGGAUUGUCAUAAAAAGAUGACAUAUCCUCUUUAGAAGGGUCAAAGACUUAGGACUCGUCAUCGUUCAGUCCACGAAUUACCACUAGGAUGGUACGUAUACCGUAUUCGUUCAAUCAAGAUUUUUCCAGUAACAAUUAAGCGGGUGUAAACAGGGCGUUAACGCUGUUGAAUCACGUCACUCUAGUCUCCUGUCAGUAGUUAAAUUAGAUUAAACACCGUGUUUUCAUAUCUACGAAAAGAGGCUACGAAAAUACUUAUAUUAUCAGUCUACGUCAAAUUCAAGUCUAUGAAAAACUGUAAAACAAACCAUAAAACGUACAGGAGUACACGAAUCAUGGCGUAAAUCUUUACUAAAGCCUAUCUAAGAAGAGUAACUUUAAGUAAAGAUUGCAUCCCUUACAUACAUAUUGGAGGACUACAUGCACCCAAAAACUCUUACGAAAAGGGUCCGGUACGACGUGAGUAGUAACUUUGAAGAUCAACACAUAAUCUAUCAUUAGUAAAAACGGAUUACAUAACGACAGAUCACGUCGUUUCACGCCAGAAAGGUGGGGUCUCUUCUUUUUCUUUCUCUUGAUCACGUCAGAAAAGAAGUUUUUACUGAAAGUACACAGGGAACCACCUACACAACGAGGGUUAUUAACCCACAGACCUGUACGAUUUAACAACGGAACACCGGUCUACUACGUAUACGAGGAAAAGGUAAAUUAUAUGAAGG
RNAcentral lists this ribosomal RNA (2925 nucleotides) under Triticum aestivum (bread wheat). RNAcentral describes it as "partial small subunit ribosomal RNA". Lineage: Eukaryota; Viridiplantae; Streptophyta; Magnoliopsida; Poales; Poaceae. The record is from RNAcentral.